CUGCUGCCUCCCGUAGGAGUCUGGUCCGUGUCUCAGUACCAGUGUGGGGGACCUUCCUCUCAGAACCCCUACGCAUCGUCGGUUAGGUGGGCCGUUACCCCGCCU
RNAcentral lists this ribosomal RNA (105 nucleotides) under uncultured bacterium. RNAcentral describes it as "partial 16S ribosomal RNA". The record is from RNAcentral.